UAGGGAAUCUUCCGCAAUGGGCGCAAGCCUGACGGAGCAACGCCGCGUGAGUGAUGACGGCCUUCGGGUUGUAAAACUCUGUCUUCUGUGACGAACAAGCCUGUGACGAAAAUACUCAGGCCCUGACGGUAACAGAGGAGGAAGCCCCGGCUAACUACGUG
Molecule: ribosomal RNA, 161 nt
Filed under: uncultured Bacillota bacterium
Lineage: Bacteria; Bacillati; Bacillota
Description: uncultured Firmicutes bacterium partial 16S ribosomal RNA
Rfam family: Bacterial small subunit ribosomal RNA
Source: RNAcentral